This 468-nucleotide ribosomal RNA is filed under the name uncultured bacterium. RNAcentral describes it as "partial 16S ribosomal RNA". It matches the Rfam family "Bacterial small subunit ribosomal RNA", at positions 28 to 507 of the family's 1533-position model. The record is from RNAcentral.
GACGAACGCUGGCGGCGUGCUUAACACAUGCAAGUCGAACGGAAAGGCCCUGCUUUUGUGGGGUGCUCGUGUGGCGAACGGGUGAGUAACACGUGAGUAACCUGCCCUUGACUUUGGGAUAACUUCAGGGAACUGGGGCUAAUACCGGAUAGGAGCUCCUGCUGCAUGGUGGGGGUUGGAAAGUUUCGGCGGGCGGGGAUGGACGCGCGGCUUAUCAGCUAGUUGGUGGGGUAGUGGCUUACCAAGGUUUUGACGGGUAGAUGGCCUGGGAGGGUGACCGGCCUCAUGGCGACUGAGGUAGGGCGCAGACUGGAACGGGAGGCAACGGUGGGAAAUAUUGCACAAUGGGCGGGAGCGUGAUGCAACGGCGCCGCGUGCGGGAUGACGGCUUUCGGGUUGUAAACAGCUUUCGACUGUGACGAAGCGUGAGUGACGGUAAUGGAUAAAGAAGCACCGGCUAACUACGUG